RNAcentral lists this ribosomal RNA (253 nucleotides) under uncultured bacterium. RNAcentral describes it as "partial 16S ribosomal RNA". It matches the Rfam family "Bacterial small subunit ribosomal RNA", at positions 524 to 776 of the family's 1533-position model. The record is from RNAcentral.
GACAGAGGGUGCAAACGUUGUUCGGAUUCACUGGGCGUAAAGGGUGCGUAGGCGGCCGGGUAAGUCUGAUGUGAAAUCUCACAGCUUAACUGUGAAACUGCAUUGGAUACUAUCCGGCUCGAGGAAUGGAGGGGAGACUGGAAUACUUGGUGUAGCAGUGAAAUGCGUAGAUAUCAAGUGGAACACCAGUGGCGAAGGCGAGUCUCUGGACAUUUCCUGACGCUGAGGCACGAAAGCCAGGGGAGCAAACGGG